Molecule: ribosomal RNA, 254 nt
Filed under: uncultured bacterium
Lineage: Bacteria
Description: partial 16S ribosomal RNA
Rfam family: Bacterial small subunit ribosomal RNA
Source: RNAcentral
UACGGGGGGGGCAAGCGUUGUUCGGAAUUACUGGGCGUAAAGGGCUCGUAGGUGGCCAACUAAGUCAGACGUGAAAUCCCCAGGCUCAACUUGGGAACUGCGUCUGAUACUGGAUGGCUUGAAUUCGGGAGAGGGAUGCAGAAUUCCAGGUGUAGCGGUGAAAUGCGUAGAUAUCUGGAGGAAUACCGGUGGCGAAGGCGGCAUCCUGGACCGAUAUUGACACUCAGUGAGCGAAAGCCAGGGGAGCAAACGGG